This 330-nucleotide long non-coding RNA is filed under the name Musa acuminata (dwarf banana). RNAcentral describes it as "long non-coding RNA (MACU_LNC007911)". Lineage: Eukaryota; Viridiplantae; Streptophyta; Magnoliopsida; Zingiberales; Musaceae. The record is from RNAcentral.
CGAUAAGACCCUGUGCUACCUUGGUGGCGAGACCCGCAUCGUGGUAGUCGACCGCCACUCGUCCCUCUCCGACCUCUCCGCCAAACUCUCCCGGACCCACCUCCGCGGUCGCCCCUUCUCCCUCAAGUACCAGCUCCCCAACGAGGACCUCGACUCCCUCAUCUCCGUCGCCACUGACGAGGACCUUGAAAACAUGAUUGACGAGUACGACCGCAUCCUUACUGCCGCCUCCACCGGUACCAGCGGCGGCUCCAACCGCUCCUCCCGUCUCCGCCUCUUCCUGUUCCCUUCUAAGCCCGAGUCGUCGCCUACGUCCUCGAUCGGAUCGCU